GAGUGGUUACCGGUUAUGUUUAGACAAACCAGAAGAUUCCGAGAAACUAAAGGUAUUUUGGUAAAUACAUUCGCUGAGCUUGAGCCUCAAGCUAUGAAGUUUUUCUCCGGCGUAGAUAGUCCUCUGCCUACGGUGUACACAGUUGGACCGGUUAUGAAUCUUAAAAUCAACGGUCCAAAUUCAUCUGACGAUAAGCAAUCGGAGAUCCUACGGUGGCUAGACGAGCAGCCACGUAAAUCCGUUGUUUUCCUCUGUUUCGGAAGCAUGGGAGGUUUCCGUGAGGGCCAAGCUAAAGAAAUCGCAAUCGCGCUUGAGCGAAGUGGUCACCGCUUUGUCUGGUCUCUUCGUCGUGCUCAACCAAAAGGAUCGAUAGGACCUCCCGAAGAAUUUACGAAUCUUGAGGAAAUUCUCCCGGAAGGAUUCUUGGAACGGACGGCAGAGAUAGGAAAGAUUGUAGGUUGGGCUCCACAAAGCGCCAUUCUAGCAAAUCCUGCGAUCGGAGGGUUCGUGUCGCAUUGUGGAUGGAACUCGACGCUAGAGAGUCUAUGGUUCGGAGUUCCGAUGGC
RNAcentral lists this small RNA (566 nucleotides) under Arabidopsis thaliana (thale cress). Its description in RNAcentral is "ATSL143980". The record is from RNAcentral. Lineage: Eukaryota; Viridiplantae; Streptophyta; Magnoliopsida; Brassicales; Brassicaceae.